UGUUAAAAUUUCAUCUAUUUAUAUUGUUAAAAACUAACGUGCUUAACAAAAUAAUCAAACAGUGACACGUGACGUGUUACAUGUAUAUCGUACUGACGUAUAAUGACCAAUUUUUAAUAGUAUAAAUAAAUAAAAUUUUUAACA
Non-coding RNA from Gossypium hirsutum (cotton), 144 nucleotides. NCBI's taxonomy places the organism in Eukaryota, Viridiplantae, Streptophyta, Magnoliopsida, Malvales, Malvaceae. The record is from Rfam.